ACCUGGUUGAAUCCUGCCAGUAGUC
RNAcentral lists this ribosomal RNA (25 nucleotides) under Bromus sterilis. RNAcentral's name for it is "partial 18S ribosomal RNA". The record is from RNAcentral. Lineage: Eukaryota; Viridiplantae; Streptophyta; Magnoliopsida; Poales; Poaceae.